GGUCCGGUAGCUCAAUGGUAGAGCAAAAGCCUUUUAAGCUUUUGGUUCAGGGUUCGAGCCCCUGCCGGAUCA
RNAcentral lists this transfer RNA (72 nucleotides) under Candidatus Levyibacteriota bacterium. RNAcentral's name for it is "tRNA-Lys". It matches the Rfam family "tRNA". From Rfam's summary of the family: Transfer RNA (tRNA) molecules are approximately 80 nucleotides in length. Lineage: Bacteria; Candidatus Levyibacteriota. The record is from RNAcentral.